AAAAGUUACAAUGUGGAGGGAGGCUAAG
Molecule: non-coding RNA, 28 nt
Filed under: Cricetulus griseus (Chinese hamster)
Lineage: Eukaryota; Metazoa; Chordata; Mammalia; Rodentia; Cricetidae
Source: RNAcentral